AGUCGAACGAGCGAGAGAGAGCUUGCUUUCUCGAGCGAGUGGCGAACGGGUGAGUAACGCGUGAGGAACCUGCCUCAAAGAGGGGGACAACAGUUGGAAACGACUGCUAAUACCGCAUAAGCCCACAGGUCGGCAUCGACCAGGGGGAAAAGGAACAAUCCGCUUUGAGAAGGCCUCGCGUCCGAUUAGCUAGUUGGUGAGGUAACGGCCCACCAAGGCAACGAUCGGUAGCCGGACUGAGAGGUUGAACGGCCACAUUGGGACUGAGACACGGCCCAGACUCCUACGGGAGGCAGCAGUGGGGAAUAUUGCACAAUGGGGGAAACCCUGAUGCAGCGACGCCGCGUGGAGGAAGAAGGUCUUCGGAUUGUAAACUCCUGUUGUUGAGGAAGAUAAUGACGGUACUCAACAAGGAAGUGACGGCUAACUACGUGCCAGCAGCCGCGGUAAAACGUAGGUCACAAGCGUUGUCCGGAAUUACUGGGUGUAAAGGGAGCGCAGGCGGGAAGACAAGUUGGAAGUGAAAUCUAUGGGCUCAACCCAUAAACUGCUUUCAAAACUGUUUUUCUUGAGUAGUGCAGAGGUAGGCGGAAUUCCCGGUGUAGCGGUGGAAUGCGUAGAUAUCGGGAGGAACACCAGUGGCGAAGGCGGCCUACUGGGCACCAACUGACGCUGAGGCUCGAAAGUGUGGGUAGCAAACAGGAUUAGAUACCCUGGUAGUCCACACCGUAAACGAUGAUUACUAGGUGUUGGAGGAUUGACCCCUUCAGUGCCGCAGUUAACACAAUAAGUAAUCCACCUGGGGAGUACGACCGCAAGGUUGAAACUCAAAG
RNAcentral lists this ribosomal RNA (833 nucleotides) under uncultured bacterium. RNAcentral's name for it is "bacterial SSU rRNA". It matches the Rfam family "Bacterial small subunit ribosomal RNA", at positions 60 to 906 of the family's 1533-position model. The record is from RNAcentral.